RNAcentral lists this unclassified non-coding RNA (323 nucleotides) under Agaricus sp. RNAcentral describes it as "partial contains 5.8S ribosomal RNA, internal transcribed spacer 2, and large subunit ribosomal RNA". The record is from RNAcentral. Lineage: Eukaryota; Fungi; Basidiomycota; Agaricomycetes; Agaricales; Agaricaceae.
AACGCAAGUUGCGCCUGAAGCCAUUAGGCUGAGGGCACGUCUGCCUGGGCGUCACGCAUUGCGUCACCCACCUCCCCCGCGCCCCAAGCGGGCACGUCGGUGCGUGGGCGGAUAUUGGCCCCCCGUUCGCAUCCGCGCGCGGUCGGCCUAAAAAACGGGUCCCCAAUGACGGACAUCACGGCAGAGUGGUGGUUGCCUAAACCGUCGCGUCAUGUCGUGCAUGCCAUUCUUUGUCGAGGGCUGGCUCAUUGACCCUUAAGUACCAUCAACUCUGGUACCUCAACUGCGACCCCAGGUCAGGCGGGAUUAUCCGCUGAGUUUAA